CAGCACCUCAAGUGGUCAGGAUGAUUACUGGGCCUAAAGCAUCCGUAGCCGGCGCUGUAAGUUUUCGGUUAAAUCUGUACGCUCAACGUACAGGCUGCCGGGAAUACUGCAGCGCUAGGGAGUGGGAGAGGUAGACGGUACUCGGUAGGAAGGGGUAAAAUCCUUUGAUCUAUUGAUGACAACCUGUGGCGAAGGCGGUCUACCAGAACACGUCCGACGGUGAGGGAUGAAAGCUGGGGGAGCAAACCGGAUUAGAUACCCGAGUAGUCC
This 270-nucleotide ribosomal RNA is filed under the name uncultured archaeon. Its description in RNAcentral is "partial 16S ribosomal RNA". It matches the Rfam family "Archaeal small subunit ribosomal RNA", at positions 477 to 747 of the family's 1478-position model. The record is from RNAcentral.